UGGGGAAUAUUGGACAAUGGGCGAAAGCCUGAUCCAGCCAUGCCGCGUGUGUGAAGAAGGUCUUCGGAUUGUAAAGCACUUUAAGUUGGGAGGAAGGGCAGUUACCUAAUACGUAAUUGUUUUGACGUUACCGACAGAAUAAGCACCGGCUAACUCUGUGCCAGCAGCCGCGGUAAUACAGAGGGUGCAAGCGUUAAUCGGAAUUACUGGGCGUAAAGCGCGCGUAGGUGGUUUGUUAAGUUGGAUGUGAAAUCCCCGGGCUCAACCUGGGAACUGCAUUCAAAACUGACUGACUAGAGUAUGGUAGAGGGUGGUGGAAUUUUCUGUGUAGCGGUGAAAUGCGUAGAUAUAGGAAGGAACACCAGUGGCGAAGGCGACCACCUGGACUAAUACUGACACUGAGGUGCGAAAGCGUGGGGAGCAAACA
Molecule: ribosomal RNA, 427 nt
Filed under: uncultured bacterium
Lineage: Bacteria
Description: partial 16S ribosomal RNA
Rfam family: Bacterial small subunit ribosomal RNA
Source: RNAcentral